Non-coding RNA from Podarcis lilfordi (Lilford's wall lizard), 66 nucleotides. NCBI's taxonomy places the organism in Eukaryota, Metazoa, Chordata, Lepidosauria, Squamata, Lacertidae. The record is from the annotation of a GenBank genome assembly.
GCAGUUCAGUGAUAGAACACCUGCUUUGCAUGCAGAAGGUCCUAGAUUGAAUCCUUGGCAUCUCCA